GAUUUCAAGGGCCGACAGGAAGCCUCGAUCGGGGAACUCUGACCUUGCGGAGGAAACUUGUUUCCCUUUUUUUCUUCCCGCCGACUUUCACUCGAUAAAACCCUGCUUUAUUCACCCUUUAAACCUUCUCCAAACCUAAAUUUUCCUGGCCUUGGGACGGACAAGAACCCAGUCUUCAGAUGAAGGAAGGAAAAGUCCUGCAACAUUCUUGGCGUGCAACGUUGGGGCUCUUGAAGAGUAGUCAAAUUCAUUGAGAUGAAAAGAAGAAUGAUGGUUGCCAGGGUCUCGGGAGAGGGAGAAAUGAUGAAUGCAGAAUUUCAAUUUUGGAAGAUGAAAAAUUUCUGAAGACAGAUGGCGGUGACGAAUGCACAAUGUAAAUAUACUUACACUUAAAAUGGUACAUUUAAAAAUGGUUAAAAUGGUAAAGUUUAUAGUAUAUCUAUUUUAUCACCAAAAAAAGAAAGCAGAAAAAAAUGUAUUUUAAAAAGCCAAUGUUUUGAAUUGUAAGACCUGGGCAAUUGAGCCACAGUGUAUAAAACCUCCAUCAUAAAAAGACAGAUUGAGAGAAAUGCAUGCUCAUGUAAGAGCUAAUUUUCUCAGUUCAAAGGAAAACACCAAUCCUUGGGGUGAAGAAGAGAGGAAAGAGAGGAGAAGGUAAAAAGCUAGCAUUGGUUGUUAAAUAAGAAGGUGAGUAGCAGAAUGACAGGAUAGCCAUGUGAUUUUUGGAGAAAAUAGGCAAAAGGAAACUUGUUCCAGCUGUAUCCUCCAUCUUCACUCUACCCUAACACCAGGAAGGACUGGUGAAACAGCAAAUACCCAGAGUUUCCUUGUGUUCACCAUAGUUCAAAAGAAAAACAUAUGUCUGCAUGAGAGGUAGGGGAGAUCUAAGCAAAUGAGUCUGAGUCAAUCUCACAGAAUCCCAGAAUGCUCCUGUGACAGGGAGUUCAGUAAAAUGAAUUCUCAUGCACCUCAGAGUAGCAUUGACACUAUUAUUGCCUUAGAGAUCCCUUUCAGUGUUCCAGAUAUUUAGAGUGUCAUGGGAGGAAUGACUGAAUAUAUUUCAAAACACUUAAUGAUGUGUAGAAAUGGCUGAAAGUGAGGUGAUCCGCCGAGACCCUGUGGUUUAGAACUGUGGUGUCCAAUGCUAGCCACAUGAUGCUAGUGGCUUCCCAUUUGAACAGUACUGAUACAAGACAUUUCCAAAACUGCAGAAAGUUCUAUUGUACAGUGCUGGUUUAGAACAAAGGGCAACAAUAGCAACUUAUGUGGCUGGACAACCAAGAAUAAUGUGGGAUAGACUCUGAGUGCAUCCCAGCUCUUGCCAGUACAAACAGAAAAGGACAAAGAACAGGAUGUCUCCUGCCCCUUGACAUUUUUAAAGCACCCAAGAUUUAGGUAUAGUAACUCUUCAUUGAAUGUUGUCAAUGAGUUGUUGGAAAUUGCAACUUUAAGCAGAACAACAGGCAGCAAACUAAUUUUACUACAGGCUAAUUUAUAUAAACAAGUUAUGUUUCUAUGGCAUAUUUCUGAUUACAAAAACAUCACCAAACUUCUACAUAAAGACCAAAACAUUUCUGAUAUUCAACAUUAAAAUAAAUGUGAGCUAUAUACACAUUUAAGAAAGAUUAAUGAAAGCAAGAUAAUUAUUUACCCAGUUAUUCCAGCUCAGGGUCACAGGUGGCCAGAGACUCUCCCCAUAGCUCAGGGUGCAAGGCAGAAGCCCACCUUGCAUAGGACACCAUUCCAUCACAGAAUGCAGGUUCACACACAGUCACACUCACUCACACUGAGACAAGGUAGGCAUGCCAGUUAACCUCACGUGAACUUCUUUGGGAUGUGGGAGGAAACCAGAGUACCCAGAGAAAACACACGCAGACAUGGGAGAAAUGCAAACUCCACACAGUGGCCCUGGCCAAGAAAUGACAUUUUUUCUCUUCAAUUUUAUAGCAAGAUAAUGUUGAAGUAAAUGAUGCCAUUUGAGUACCUGCUGUAUAUUCCAGGAAAGACUGAACACAAUUAAAAUUGUAUCUUUACAAUACAUACAACGGAGGCUCAAAAUAAUAGACAUUAAGUUCGGUUUGAAGAAAAAAAAGUAAAUUUCCUGCAUAUGUACCUCCUGGAUUAAAAUUUAUACUACAUCACACAGGAAUCACACUUGUCUGAGAUGAAACAAGCCACAUUAUUGUGUAAAAGUGACUGCAACAACUUUUUUAAAAUAAAAAUUGUGUUCCAAUCAGCACCUAGAUGAAAUGCCCAGCACAGUGCCUAGUUUAUCUGCCUAGUUAAUAGAUGACACUCAAAACUGAUUGCUUUUCUGAUUACACGAAAUAAAAGUACUAUCUGAGAAGAAGCAAAAUUCCCAUGUCUACAAACAGGAAAGCUAACUUGGAUAAUAAGUGUGCAAUGAGAGCCAAAUGACCUUGAAGGCUUCUAAAUCAGAAAACUCAGUAUAUGUUUGAUGCAACGGUCCCUGAGAAAGUUUUAUGAUUUCAAAAUCAUAUACUAUAUCAGGUUAUUUUGCCCACUGGCAGUACCGGAAUUGGCAAAGCUGUACUUUCAAAUUCACACUAAUCAGUUAACAGUUGUUGAAAUCAAAUUGCAGCCAAGGUUGUUAGAGUCACUGAUAAAAUAAACAGUUGUUGAGAGGGGGUGGCACAAGGCAGUGAGAUCACACUAGCAGCUGGGACUCAGGGUGGGAAGAUGCCUGGGAAGUCAGAAGGCAGUUAAGACCUCCACAACCUACACAUUUGCAGACACUAGUUUAAGCUACUGACUCCUUUAGUCUUGAACUCUCCUAAAGGUGGGGGAUCUUAACUGCAUUUGCAAUUACCAGAAAAGGUAAAUAAAUGGUAAACCGCUGAAUCCACUGGCAAUCCAAAUUGCGAGAUUUAAAGCUGGGCUGGGAAUUUGAGAAAAAUAGAGUUGGUAAAUUAGCUACUUGGUACAACUUCUACAGAUGUUUUUUUGUGAGCUCUGAGUUUCUGGAAAAGCUAAAGUUCCCUGCAGUCUCCACCUACUUCCAAAGCAGUCACCAUGGCUCGCUGUCAGCCAAGUUUCCUGCCAACAGUCCCUGUGUGGGGGAAGGAAAGAAUCAAAGAAGGACAACUGGACAAAGGUAGUAUGACUUCAUCCAACUAGAUAUUUUUUCUCCCUCAUUACUAAGUCACAGUUCUGGGUCUUUUUUCAGUUGACCUUUUCUAGGUCCAUGUUCAGCAUUAUGUAUAGAGAAAAACUGUACAUUUUCACCAGGAAUGGUUUGUACUUGGUUAUUUUAAAAUUCAAUAUAGAUGAGUUUCAAAUUUGUCUUCUACCUCAAAAUGCAGCAAAUUCCAAGAAUGGAGUUUAAAUGAGCAUUGUGUAAAAAGCUCAUUCAAAGAAGCUCGGUCCUCAUUUACAGGGAAUGAGAAAAUACCUAAAAAGAAUGUGGAGGCUGAGGCCAAAGUGUCAGAUAAGUUUUUUUUAAAGAAAGAAAACCUCAGGGAAAUUUUUAAAAACUAUUUUUCAUUUUAAAAGUUAAGGAAGGGAGAUGUAUAAUUUUUAGGGUGUCAAAACCGGCCAUGUAAGUAUAUGCAAUCAUGGUUUUGAUUAUGGUUAAGUAAAUGAAGAGGAGAGGAAACUGUCAUACUUAUGGACCUGCUUAUUUGUGAUUGCGCUUAUUACUGUAUGUACAUCUCACAGUAAUCUACAGACAGCUUACAACAGUGCUGCACACGAUUAAUCUGACUUCACAGUGAGACGCUGAGAAAGGUGAAGUAAGUGGACUGAGAGCCACAGCUCCCAAGGGCAGUGCUUGGAUAGGAACUCAGAUCUUUACCUUCAAAGGUAAGCUACAAAUUCAAAAACUAAUAACCACAGACUAUUUUCAGUAGUAACUGAAACUAAUUCAGCAAAUACUAACUGAGUGUCUAUUGUGUAUUGACCACCUAACAAAUAGUGAAUUUUGGAAAUAUGUCAGACCUAGAUAAACUCUGAUAAUCUUGACAACUCUUCAGUCUCCAUUUACUUCAGAGGCAAUUAGAAAGAAAGAAACAGGCCUGCCUUCACUUCUCAACCAUCAGAGGCCUGUACAGACCCUUCCAGUUACUUUCCUUCCUUAUAUCAUCUGGGAAUGUAUUAAACCUGCAUUCUGGGCCUAUGGCUUUCAUACAUUCGGUCACAAAUAGAAAGCAAUGUUAAGUCCUGGGUUGCUACCUGUAAUGGCAGUCCUAUCCAGCCCCUCUCUGUCUGAUGCUAAGGCUCAAUGAAAUCAAGGCCAGACAGAAUUGAGGACCAGUCCAAAGUUAUUCUCUACUCCAUCAUUUAUUCUAAGCUGCCAGUGAUCUUUAUAAUUGGUAGCUAAUUUCUUAAUGGCAUAUCCAGUUUCUUGCUGAUAAACAAAACAGUGGCAAGGAAAACAGCAAAUAUGGACAGAUUUAGGAUUUUUAAUAUUAUAUUUACAGACAAUCCAAAUGUUCAGAGUAACUCAUUAUGCAAAUUCUGAUUUGGCUUUUAAGUAAAGUAUAUUUUCUAAGUACUAGUAUUUUAAAGGAAUUGCCUAAAUAAUAUGUAACAAAAACAAACAAAACAAAAUCUCAUAUGAGAGUUUCCUUGUUGUCUUAUUGUAAAUUAUUCCAGAUCUACAUUUCUUUGGCAAAAUAUUCAAAUAUGGCAGCAGUGAAUUAAUUAAUCCAUCCUUCCUUCCUUCCUUUCUUCAUUCCUUCCUCCCUCCCUCCCCCUCUCCCUUCCUUCCUUUCUACCGUUCUUCCUUCUUCUCUCCCUCUUUUCCUUCUCUCACUUCCUCACUCCCUUUUUCUUUGCUUGCUUCUUUCUCACUCUCCCUGUCUCCUUCCUUCCAUUUACAUACUGCAAUUAACACGACUAACCCAUGCUUAUUUUUCAGAGCACUUAUAUCUGAAGAAUCUCCAGUAAUAUAGCUAAUUAUGUAAUAUUGAUUGCACAGUUGAAUCCCUAAAAUAAUGAUUUCAUUCUACUUUCACUGUAAGUCUGUUUAUUUUACCCACAGAAUUAAUUGUAGUGGUAAAAUAUGUUUCUCCCUUUAUAUUCCUGACUGGUGUAAUCAAAUAAUUUCUUAAAGCACAUCACUUUUCAUUUUAAAUGUAGCUUUAAAAACCAGGUUAACAACUGCCUACAUUUAACUGUAGAUUUUAUGUGCUAUAAUAUUAUAUGUCAUCUAUUACCUGUUUUAUAGGCUUGGCAGAAUAAAAUAAUCAUUGAUCUUUUUUUCAUAUGAAUGUUACUAAGAAAAAUGGUAUAAACGUCAACCGAUUAAAAUAUUACUUAAGAUGCUUUAUUAAAAUUUAUUUUAAAGCAGUUUUUCUUAUAAAGACUUGACAAAUCUAGAGAACAUCUCAUUUAAUCUCAUUUAUGAGGAUGUUUUGCAUGCAAAGAACAACCUGAGGGAGUGUGAGAUUCCAGAAAGGCUUGGGCUAAUAUGGUUUGGCUGUGUCCCCACCCAAAUGUCAUCUCGAAUUGUAAUCCCAAUAAUCUGCACGUGUCAAGGGAGAGACCCAGUGGGAGUUGAUUGGAUCAUGAGGGGCGGGUUUCCCCCAUACUGUUCUUGUGAUAGUGAGUUCUCAUGAGAUCUGAUGAUCAUAUAAGCACCUUGCAUUUCCCCUGCUUGCUCUUCUCUCUCCUGCUGCCAUGUGAAGAAGAUCUUUGCUUCCUCUUCGCCUUCUGCCAUGAUUGUGGGUUUCCUGAGGCCUCCUCCAGCCAUGUGGAACUGAGAAUCAAUUAAACCUCUUUUCUUUAUGUUACCCAGUCUCAGGUAUUUCUUUAUACCAUGUAAAAACUGGCUAAUACCGGCUGUAUAGAGUGCUAGGACAUGUAGGCAGUUCUUACAGAACUGCUGUGCAAAUUGCUUCUUGCACAAAUCAAGAGGGGAAGAAAGAUGGGAGAAUCACAAUCUUCUCUGUAGUUUUGUUUUUAUAAACAUUGAUAACAACUGGAAAAAGAACAAUUGCCAAUUAAAAUCUCUGUAUGAUUCUAUAAGAAUCUCUUAUGAUUACUUGCUUGAAAUAUCCCAUAAUAGGAAUUCAUCAAAUUUGAAGAGUGUGAAUUGGAGUAGAAUUGGAAAGCCUCUACUAAGAAAAAAGAAAAGAGCAAUCAUCAUUGCCACCCUCACAGCUACCCAAGACAAGUACAGUAUUACUAAGGCUAGGUGUGUUCCAACAAAAAAGAUACGGAGUGAUAUUUCAUUUAGUCCACAUAUAACCUGAGAUGCACUUAGUAGUAUUUUCCCCACUUUGAAAUCUUUCUAGCCAUAGUAGUAUUAUCUCCAUUUUACAUGUGAGAAAACUGAGGCACAGGGAGACCAAGUAACUUUCCCUACAUUAUAUAUCUAGUAAGUGGUAAAUCUACAAUACAAACCUAGGACUCUGUGAUUCCAAAACCCAUGGUCUUAAGCACCACCAUCUUGAUACUCAAUAUGUGGUCUGUGGACAGGCAUUGUCAGCUUUACCUGUGGCUUUUUUAGGAGUACAUAAUCUGAUUUAAUUGCAUACUGACAUUCAGAAGCACUGCUCUAUACUAUAACAAUAAUAUGAAUAAUAAUAGCAUAUAUGACAUUAUAUGUUUAUUUAUAACUUAAAAGUAUGUGCACAUAUGCUACUUAGCUGUGGGUGAUACAAGGCUGGAAGGCAAAUAAGGAUGAUGUUUUAGAAGAAAAAGAGUCCACACUGAAGUUUCUGAGAUAACAUGGACACAGUGUACUCCUGGAGGAUUAAGAGGGGAGUCAUCAUAGAUUGAUGUCCCCAGGAACUAUUUAGCAGGAUGACAUCAUGAAAAUUUGCUAAAUUUUGCCCAGGAAAGGUUGUCCAGCCACAUCAAGAAUCUUACCAAGAGUGACACUAACAGUAAGAAUAUAAUGAAAGAAAGCCAUUUUAUAAGAGUUUGUUUUCAUUUACACAAGAAGAAAUCCUGGCAAAGCAACUCUUCAGACCCAGAAGAUAUUUAAAGCUUCAGUCUCUUUCAUUGAAAGUUUUAAAUAGCUCAAAGCACCAAAUUUAAUUAAUUUAUAUUGAAUGCAAAACCGGAUAUAAUUAUUUUAUCAUAAAUGCAAGUCAGCUAAAAAACAAAAGGAUAGGCUAGAAUUUAUUUUUUCCCAAUUCUUUGACUUUGUCCAAAUAAGAGCCAGUUCACUAAAGAGAAUCAAUCUGCCAAAUUAGUAGUACUGAAUUUACUACUUAAAUUAUUUAAAGUGUAUUGGUUUCUUUUGCUUGUCUCUUUAUAAAUUAUAAGCUUUAUUCUUCAUUUAUUCCACAACAUUCCACACACAUUUAUGAUUGCCAGUGUCAGUUCAAUAUCAUGGCUGCAGACCACCUAACACAUGCAAGGAAGAAAGAAAAUAGCUUCUAUUGAACCAGAUCAAUAACUAGAAAUGGAAACAAACAGUGAAUAUAGAAAAAAAAAAUUACAAACAUUAAAGAUGGCAGGAAGAUCCAAAGAUGUGAAAGGAAGGCAGGUAUCCUGGAAUCCUAGUAUUUCAAAAACUGAAGAUAUGGAAAAUGUGACCAGAGUAAAAGCACAGUAUAAAGAAUUAUAUAUGUAAUAAAACAUUUCCAUGAAACUACAGAAUUGCAUAUUAAAUAUAAACAAAGUUCAUCUAUUUGUCAACUUUAAAUCUCCAAAAUAAUUUCAGGAACCAAAAUUCAAUUUGGAAUAUUUCUCUUUGCUCCUGUAGUGAGUAUUUUUUUCUUCAAGUUGUUCUUUUAGCUUACUUGGCUGUAAUAAUAAAAGUAAAGCUAAUUUCCCCUCUCCCUGCCAAUUACUGUAAAGAAAGACCAUCUAAACCAGUUAAAUACAGGCAACAUGAUACAUAGAUGAGAAAGCAAUAUCUACGUGCAUUUAUUUUUUAUUAGCCAAGAAUUUCUUUAAAUUUAUUUUAAAGAAAGAAAUUUUAAACAUUUAUUUUUUAAAACAAAUUUUUAAAAAAUCCUCUGAAGAGCUCAAAGGCAUCAGCAAACGAUAUGCAAUUUAAAAUAACAUAUAUAAUGUAUCAUGUUUUCAAAGGAAUUCUAAGAGUAACGUGAGCGCUCCAAUUCUACAUGCUCACCUCUCACAGAUUCUCAACACUUUCUAAUGAAGUUAGAAAUCAAUGAGUUUAACACAAGCAUUGAGAUUUUCCUCAUCAUUUUGGACUAACAGUUUCUGAGACCAGUGUGUUUGGCCUUAAAUAGAGUGGAAGUUAUUAAGUAACACCUAAACUGAGAGUUAACUGAUGGGAAGUUUUUUGCUGUUGUUGAUAUGGAUUGCUCUCCUUUUUAAGGAGUAUGUUAGCUUUUAUUUUUGCCAGAAAUAUGAUUUUCAGGACCUCGCAAUUAUCCUAACAAUUUGAAGUCUUAAGAAAAAAGGGCCAGGCGCGGUGGCUCACGCCUGUAAUCCCAGCACUUUGGGAGGCUGAGGCGGGCAGAUCAUGAGGUCAGGAGAUCGAGACCAUCAUGGCUAACACGGUGAAACCCCGUCUCUACUAAAAAUACAAAAAAAAAAAAAAAUCAGCUGGGUGUGGUGGCGGGCGCCUGUAGUCCCAGCUACUCGGGAGGCUGAAGCAGGAGAAUGGCGUGAACCUGGGAGGUGGAGCUUGCAGUGAGCCAAGAUCGUGCCACCGCACUCCAGCCUGGGCGACAGAGCGAGACUUCAUCUCAAAAAAAAAAAAAAAAAAAAAAAAAAAGGUGAAGAAAAAGUCUAAGGCUAAGAGCAUAUAAAAUAUUAUCUCAUUUAUGUUCUGACUCAGGUUAUUUUAAUUAUUUUCAUUCAGCUAAAAUGGAACAUAUUCAUCAGAUCUACCAUAUAGUAUGUCUGUGAUCACUAAAUUAUAUUGUGUGGAAAGAAUGGUUCUAUUUUGGCUAGUAGGCACAGCAAUGUGGUAUUUUUUUUUUCUUUCUCUUUUUUUUUUUCUUUUUGGUAGUGACGGUGGUGAAGAAUGGUUUCUCAAAGUCAUUGUGAAAACUAUUAGAAUAAUGCCAUUUAUAUAGCAAGUUAAAUGUACAGACAAGUCUGUUCUGCCGAUUUUAAAUUUAAACUGAACUUCUUAACCUCCUCCAGGAGUUCUGUGACACAUAUAGUGGGAUUAAUGAGCCUUGCUUCUAAAAGUCAACUCUUCCUAAUACUCAGAGCCCAGUGCUCAUCUAAAAACUAGAGCAAUUGCUUGAAAAAUAAAGACCUUUCUAUAAAAAAUUAAGCAUCAAAUUGACAUUUUAAAUUUUGCAAGCUAGAUCAACUUCUUUUAAGAAAGUGUAAAUAAAAUCUACCACUUCUGAGAAAUAAUUAAAGGGCAGUGCUAGGAGGGUAAUGUUAAUUUGUCCAAGACUAAAAUACCAUCCCUACUCUGAAACUUGAUGCCAGUUAGAACAUCAUCUCAAUCAGAUUCCAUUAGAAUUGAUACUCAUAUAAGCAGCAAUUAAUAAAAACCAGAAAUUUUACUAAUCUCUUUUACCUUCACUGAAUGUAUAAACGUUUAAAGUAAAUUAUAAUGUCUUUAAUAGGUAAAUUUAAAUUGAAUUUCAGGAGUAGGUUGCCAAUCUAUCUUCAUAAACACAUUUUCUGAUUGACUUUUCAGUCACUUCUACAUAGUAGAAAGUUACAAGAAUCAAUGCAUCAACCUUUCUACCUGGAUAUUAUAUAGUUCUACUAUAAGGCUUUUGAACAAGCCAAAUUAUAACUGUAACAUAAAGACCACAGACCUGGGGCAUGUUAGAUAUGCCUCUCAUGUCAUGUCAGAUAAUACAAACAAGUGUCUGAAGCUGUCACAUUUAAGUAUUUAUACUGGCUGGAUCCCAAACUAAUGAUAUAGGUAGCAAAUAUUGCAAUAAAGUAUUAAUAUAUUUUUUUAAUUUUAUUAUUAUUAUACUUUAAGUUUUAGGAUACAUGUGCACAAUGUGCAGGUUUGUUACAUAUGUAUACAUGUGCCAUGUUGGUGUGCUACACCCAUCAACUCGUCAUUUAGCAUUAGGUAUAUCUCCCAAUGCUAUCCCUCCCCCCUCCCCCAACCCCACAACAGUCCCCGAAGUGUGAUGUUCCCCUUCCUGUGUCCAUGUGUUCUCAUUGUUCAAUUCCCACCUAUGAGUGAGAACAUGCUGUGUUUGGUUUUUAGUCCUUGCGAUAGUCUGCUGAGAAUGAUGGUUUCCAGUAGUAUUAAUAUUUUGCUGAAGAUAUUUGCUGCUUAUAAAAUUUGAAAAGCUUUCUAAAAUACAAAAGCUAUAUAGAUGAUAUACUAAAUAACAAUGUUGAUCACCUGAGUAUUAACGUGUCUUCAUUUUUGUUCAGAUUUUUUUUUAAAUAACAAAACUUGAACAUUACAGAAAUCUGGAAGUUUCCUUGUUUUUUCCUUACCUCUUCCAGUGUCACUCACUCCUCAGAACCACCUGCAAAUAAGGACUUGUGUGGUCUCCCAGUCUAUGUUUCAUGUAUUGUAAAUUAAUUUCAAUCUCCCUCUCUCUCUCCUGCUUUCUCUUUCUCACUGGCAUGUGAUUUAAAAAUACACACACAUACACAUAUAUUCUAUAAUUCUAUUACAUUUUGCAACUGGUGUUUCUUCCCCCAGCAGCACUGAGCUUUUGUGAUAUUUCCAUGUAAAAAUAAUUCUUUCAUUCCAGUUGUCUCUUAAGGUAUAUUUUAUAAUUAGAUCUUAACAUGUGUAUAUAUGUGUGUAUAUAUAUGUCUAUAUAUGUAUAAAUGAAGUAUAUCAGUUUCCCAUUGUUUAUAUUGUUUCUUUUUUUGCUACUAAAAACAAAAAUGAACAUUUUUGAACCAAGUCUCCUGAUACACAUAUGUAAGAAAGAGUUUUUCUACAUACCUGCACUCAGUAUUUUAAACCAUGAGCCACAGUAAGAAGCUUGCAUAUGUGCAUAAACAUAUGUAUACAUAUACAUAGGUAUAUAUACACAAUAUAUGUAUGUUUUUUCUCUCUAAAAUUAUAAAAUUUUCACUAUGAUUUUAGGUAAGUAAAAUUAAAAACAAACUUGAAGCUCAAAAUAAUUAUUUAUCUGCCUCAUUCCAAACAAGGCUCUUAAAACCAGAUUCUGUCAAUAGCACCUCAUAGGUAGCAUAACUAAUUAAGGUGAUUCUAAAAAUCAAAUAUGUACUUAAUGAAUUUUUUUACCUAAAAAAAGUAAGUAGAACUAUCCGGAAAAAAAAAGGCAUUUUCUUUAUAGAGCUCCAAAAGCUCCAUCUAUCUGAGUACAUAAAUUCUAUAUAUGUUAGAAAGUGGCAGAAAACGCUGGUUAUCUGUCUUAUAUCACAGGUUUUUUGGAAGGCAAAAACUGUUGCUUUGCAACAUACUAUGUGGUAAAAGUCACAGAAGCAUUAACAUGGUACAUAUGUACAGAUGUUCUAAAGAACAUAAAGAUGUUUUGAUAAAACUGAUUAUUUUUCUAUGUGAUUUCUUUAAAGAAACUGCUUUAAAAUGCCCCAAUCUAUUGUACAACUGGACUGUCAUUUCUUUUACCUUCCAUUUAAAAAAAAAACUUGAAUAUAGAAAUUAAAAAAUAAAGUUUCUUAUCUCUAUAUAUAGUCACUUAAAAUACCUAUUUUUUAUUUGAGUCCCUUAAAAUUCUUUGACAGGUCCUUGAAAUAAAUUUCAUUUUAGAGUAUUCAGGGAAAGACGUUCAAGAAUUAACCACUAAUUUUAUCAUUUUAAUAUUUGCCCAAACUCAAGAUAAAAUGUGGAAUAAGAGGUUAUACUUCGAAGAAAGGCAAAAUGCAAGUUAUCUUACUUUUACUCUACUACUGUCUUGAUUUAUGAGCUUCAGAGAGAACCAUCUGACAUUGGCACACCUCUUCAGGAUAAGAGAAAUUACGUAGCGCUAAAGGAAUUUCAGUAACAAUGUUCUUGUGACUCUCAACCAUACGUUAUAUGAAUUACCUAAAUAACUGCUUCAAACUCCCCUUCCUUUUCUACAUGUAAAUGGAACCAUGAAAUCCUAAACAUACAACAAACAGAGCAGUGCUUCUCAACAAUCUUUGCUGAAGGACCAGCCCUACCCCCAUCAGUCAUAGACCAAUACUUUUAUAAAAUACAAUAAAAAUGAGUUAUCAGAAAAAAUAAAAUGAAAUAGACUUACAAAAUAUAGCCAUAAUUCUUGAUUGGUUUUCAAAGAUGUGAAAUUACUCUGUUAAGUUGCUAUAAAUACCUCUAAAUGCUCACUCUCAAUUUCCAUUAAACAGUUCUCAGAUCAGUAUGGGUCUGUGUACCACACUUUGAGAAGUACUGAGUCAUGAAACAAAUAUACUUGCUGGCAAAAAGUUCUCAUUCCUUUUACUAAGAGUAAUUGUUCUUUACAUUUACGUUGGUGGGAGGGAGAUGUGGAAGAGGCAACUUUACUCAAGUGAUAGUCUGAGAAAGUUAGUUAUUCUUUCAUCUGUACUUAGUUGUGAAAAUGGAUUUUCCCACUAAUUUUGGCCAUGAGGUAGAACACAGUGACUCUCAACACUUAAAGGGCAAAGAAAUCACCUUGGGGAAGUGCAAAAAACAACAACAACAACAACAAAAUGCUUAUUAAGGCUUCAACACCAGAGAUUCUGGUUCAAUAGGCUUCCUCAAUGCCUGCAAUUUCUGUGUUUCUCCUAACCUUCAACACCUUUACUCACUCCUAGAAGGUCAAUAUGAUUAUUCUAGUUUCACAGAUGAGAAAAUGCAGGCUCCACGUUUUUGCCUUAGGCUGUAAAGUAUUAAACAUAGAACUCAAAUCUUUUAGAUUCAAAGUUUAGUGUUGUUGCUUUUUCUUAUGUAUGCCCUAUAGUAUAAAAGAAUAUUGAGUUUUACAAAGCCUAAAUUGUUACUGAAAUAGCAGUGUAUUUUUUAAUUUAUUAACAUUUAAAGUUAUUUAUUCCCCUGACAAUGAUUGCCAUAUACAGCAAAAAUACGUGUGCUGGUGACAUUAGACAGCAUCUUUACUGUCCACUGAUGUCCUAGACGCUCUUUUUUAUAGUCAUUCAAUCACAGCCAGACUCUCAUUCAGGAAAUAUUUUGCUUUCUCAGUUAAGUCCCUUGAGGUAUACCAAAUUAUUAAGUUAAUUAGCUAUUAAAGUAUACCAAGGCUCAUAUAGCUGAUUUAAAAAAUUACAACCAUUUGCAGACAAGAGGUCAUCUAGCUAUGUUGAAAACAAAUUGUACUGAACUUGGAUCAAGGAAUCUGAAAUCUAGCCAUGAUUCAGUGAUUUACCAUUUGUAUGAUUUGGGGAAAAUAAUUUUCUCUCUAAGUUCAGCUUCCUUAUCUGUAUCAUUUAGAUAACCUGCAAUAUGCAAGGCUCUUAUGAAAUUAGAUUUUAAAAAUAAUGGGUAUAAAAAUGUUUUCCCUACAGUCUUUGUCACUUAGUUGAUGAUCAAUACAUUUUUUUUCCUAUUAAAAAAGGCAAUAUAUCGUGUAUUUACUUCCUUGGUUCAUAAGAGUUACAGGGUAGGGGGUGCUAAACUAGCUCCAAAUAGAGAACUUUCUUACCCUUACAACUGUAUGUAGAUGACCCACAAUAUAGAGUCUCUCACCCCACAUGUAGGCCUAUAUACUUUCACUGGAUGUAGUCAGGUAGGAAGCUGGAUUACCAGUUGUCAGGAACAUUGCAGAAGAAAUUCCAGCAAGUGUGGGUAGGCAGAUCAGAUGGCUCUAAAUAUCCUUUUCCUAUUAAGGGUUGUCAUAAUAAUACCAUAGACUGGGUGGUUUCAACAACACACAUUUAUUGUCUCACGGUUCUGGAGGCUAGAAAUCCAAGAUCAAGGUGUCAGCAGGGUUGGUUUCUUCUGAAGAUUGUUAGGGAAGGAUCUGUUCCAUGUCUGUCUCCUUGGUUGUAGAUGACAUUCUCCCUGAAUCUCUUCACUUUAUUUUCCUUCAAUGCAAGUCUCUGUGUGCAAAUUUUCCCUUUUUAUAAGGACACCAGUCAUAAUGAAUUAGGGCCCACUCUAAUGAUCUCAUCUGAACUAAUUACAUCUUCAAUGACCCUAUUUCCAAUUAAGAUCACAUUCUAAUUCACUAGGAGUAAUGGCUUCAACAUAUGAAAAUUUGAGGGACACAAUUCAACCCAUAAUACUAUUAUUCAAUAUUUAGGAUCUCCAUGAGAAGUAGAUGUCAGGAGUCCCAGUUUUCUCUUAGUUUUGCCAUUUGCUAGCCAUGAAACUGGACAUCACUCAAUAACUCUAGGCUUGCUUACCUGUAAAAUAAGCAUGUUGAAGAAAAAAAUUAACUCUAAAAUAUUCUUUCAUUUUAACAUGUCUAUGUCUAAGUGUGGAGUAGAGGUCUCCAAAAGAGCUACUGGAUCACAAAAUGAGGUGUAAGCUUCAAUAUUUUCUUAUUUGGGUCCUCUUAUUUACUCAAAAUCCCAGUUACUAAGAAACUCACAGUAGGAAACAGGCCAAAUAUAUUACUUGCAAAGCCUCAUCUCAUUAUGAUUAGGUUGACUACAUAAAGGAUAUCUAUAUAUAAAUAUAUAGAUGUGUGUGUGUGUAAUGUGUAUUAUGCCUCGAUCUUUAAUGAGAAGAACAAUUAACAUACGCAUAAAUCAAAUAUCUUUGGAAGGAUAGAUACAAAAGCCAUUUACCACAUUGCUUGCCACUUAAGAGAGAACUAAGUUGCAGGGGAAGAGCAGUCAGGAAAUUGUUGCAUUCUCUUUAGAUUUUGAAUCAGAGGAGAAUGCGCUACCUAUUCAAAGAGUAAACAAGGAUUAAAUAAGAAAAAUAUUCAUGCGUUGUGCAUUUGUUUAGCCUUUGGUUUCUAAGUCUGAAUAGUGUAUAUUGAAGUCAUUUUGUGCUUCGAGGUCACUAUAAUAAGUACAUUUGACUUUGACAAACUUUCCAUUCUGCAGAAAGCUACAGGACUCAGCAAACAUGCUUAGAUAUCUGCUUCAGUGUGAAACGUAUAAUGAAAGAAGACUUCAUAAGCAGCUGUUUCUUAAGAAGCUUGUGUUAUACAAAUAUGACACAGUUAAUGAACAGAACUAGAGAGCAAUCUGCUACAUCUGUCUUCAAAGGACAAGGAAGAUAGCAAUCAAUACUGUAUUUACGACGGCAUUUUUCACCUGAAAAGUUUCCACUUAUCUACCGCUUCUGUCUAAGAAAGACAGGCUUUUUUUUUACUUAAAAUUUCUCCCUUGCUGCUUACCUAUUUUAGUGGUAGCAGCAGUUGUAUAAACUUAGUAAGAAUAGUUAUUAAUGUGUAAACUGAAUUAAUUAAUAUCUCUUUGAACAAAACAAAUGGAAGUGUGCCUAACCACUGUUUCUAUCACUGGCUGAGGGAAAGAAGGCAUUUCCGUAGCUGGAGCAGGUAAUAAAAUACAGAGCCAGAGAAGAGAGCACUAUACAGGAAUCAUUUUUUAAAGGAAAGAAGACAAAGUGUGCCAAUUCCAUUUUAAAGAUGAAGGAGACAAAGAUUCUGAAGGGUAUAUAUCCAAAGAUAAUAAAAACGUGAAAUUUUCUGUCUUGGAUUCUGUAUUUUUAUCUGUAAUAUUAUAAGUGUACAUCUAAGCUAAAGUUCUAGAAUAAUCUCUAUAUGUUAAGCAUACUUAAUGCUGUCUUAGAGUCCUAAAAUACCUCACCAACAUUUUAUCACUAUGACAGCCUUUAUGGACUUACACAAAAUAGUUGAUGAAUACUAUAAAGAAUUGAUUUGUAAGUACAUUCUUUGGGCAACCACUGGGAUUUUUACAUCACUGUCCUUUUAUUAACCAGAGUAAACAAACACAUGAGCCAACUUAAAAUUACAGAUGCAAAUUAAGGAGAUGACUCGAGUCUAUGCUUGCUUUUCUUUCCUAAUAAGUGAUUAAAUUAAUAAUUUCUGUUAGAUGUCAGUUAUCUAAUGCAUAAAACAGUGAGUGCUUAGAAUUUUUCUUUCUUAUUGACACAAUUCCAUCAAUUACACUUCUUAUGGUACAAAUGUUAUGGCUAUUUCUCUUCUAUCAAUUAUCUGUUAUGUGUUUUUCCUGUCUUUUUAUUUAUCUAUAUCUAUUACCUAUCUACCUAUAUAUCUAUCUAUUCCACUCUAUUCAUUCAUUCAAAAAAAUGUGCGUUGAGUCUUUGCUAUGUUUCAUGUUCUAUACUAUGGUUACCUUAAUAAAAAAUAUGCAUAUGGUAUUUAUCUCAGAUUCCAAAGCAAACCUUAACCUUUACCAUAUAGCUUUCCUUGGCCACCUCCAAGUGACCUCUCCUUCCUUUGAACUCAGGUAGCAUUUACUUUUAAAGAACUUUGAGCAUUUAAUUAUAGUUCUUUAUAGAAUGAUUUAACUACUCCACCCCAUUUUCAACAAAUGAAGCAAACUCUAGAGGUACCUGCCAGUGUAGAGUACACUGUUUAGUUUAAUCUAUUAACAUCUAGGUGUUUUUCUAGUACCUGAUAGAAGAGAAUGUUUAAAGGAGUACUAAUCAACUAUGUCAACUUCAUAGAUAACCAUUCUUCCUCCUCCUUCUGCCUUUCCUCCUCCCUCUUCUCCUUUUUCUCCUCCUCCUCACUAUCCUGCUUCUUCUCUUCUUCUUUCUCAGUGUUAUCACUGUCAUCGUAUUUCUAGUGUCUACUAUUGUCAGACACAUUAUCAGUGCUUAAUAAAUGCCCAGUAAGUGAAUCAGUAAAAAAUUACCUCUUCUCCCUCCUCAUACUCUUCAUUAUAUUUGUUAAUGUUAUGUUUUUAACAGGUGCUUUCAAAUGCAGUUAUUUUAAGUAGUCACAUUUUUCAAUAUACAGAAUUAUUGAGUAGGACUCAAAAGUUUGUAAAAGGAAGAAAUCAUUGAAUGAAUAAAUGAAAUACGCAUCUAUGUGUUUUCCUCAGCAACAUUUUUGAGAUCAUGACACACAUAAAAACUUGUAAAAUUUCAUAGAAAAAUGUUGGCCUGUAAUCAGUUGAAACGCAAGUGGUAUCUGGUAUGUAGUAAGCGUUCAAUAAAUGGCUGCUGUAACCAGAGUCCUGAGCAAUGUCAUACAAGGAAGGCUCGUAGCAUUUCUGGAAGCUAAAAUAUAACCACAGGAGGACCAUUCUUGAGAUACAGUUGCACCUAUAGAAAAUUCAAAUUUCCCCCGUCUGUCCUCUUCCCAACACCCCACCACACAAACACCGGAAGGUAAGUUCCAUAAUUGUAAGAAUUUAGUUUGCUAGUUUCACUACUGAAUCCUCAGGGCCUAACACAUAGUAGGUAUUCAAUAAAUAUCUGUUGAAUAAAUUUUUAAAAACCCCACUGUCUGGGAGUGUAAAAAUUGUUCAAUGUAUUUCAUCUUUCUCCUGCCUUCCCCUCCCUCUGCCUACAUAUGUUCAAAAUCUCAGGCCCCUCCCCAGAACUUUUGAUUCAGAAUCUGUACUUUUAACAUGAUUACCUGUGAUUUCAUAGGAGAAGCACUGCUAUAAAUCACAUAAAUUUCACUUUUCUGUCCUCCAAUGGAUAAAACUCCUCGACUUGUUGAUCAAAACCCAACCUCACAGUACACUCAAGUUUCCAGCAGUUGGUCCUUUGUAAAACUAGGAGUCAGCUGCUAGGACUUGAUCUCUCUCUCUCUCUGUCUCUCUCUCUUUAUCCCCCUCUCUUCCCCACCUCCUCUCUUUGCUCUUUCUCUUUGCUUUCAUGAUAAAAUCAUAUUAUACAGAGGAGCAGCACAGAGUAAAAUUUCAUAUGCUAAUUUACAUUUUUAAUGUUAAAGAACCAUCAGCCAAAGCUAGCUAAAGCAAAAGUUAUCCUCUUUUAUUGCUCUUUUUUCUGCCUCUCUACUUCCUAUGUGACCUCCUCACUCUUCCUUGUGCAUAUCCUAGAAGGCAGAAUAACUAAAUAUUUACUGAGUAUCUGGCAUCUGCAGGCACAGGAAGUCAGUUUUCCUCAUUUAAUCUUUAUACCAACUGGAAAUAGAGCCAUGGGGACGGGGGCAUGGUAUCAUGCUCAGUCAGUCCUCAUGAACACAUUCUCCAAAAGUAGUACUUUUUCAGUGACAUUCUAAAAGUUUAUUAUUGUCACAACUGUGAGUUAGAAUAUGAAGAAAAUACAUAUGUUAGAGAAAUAAAGAAUAAAAGGGAAAUGGUGAGACGCUAGGAGAAAACUGUCAUAAAAUGUGGCCAUUUUUUCAUGAUUACCUUCUGUUCUGAACAACAACCCAAAGUCUGGCCCAAGCCAUUCUCCUUCGAUCUCUAGCAUUUUAAAAGCCAACUAUACCUCUGAUAACAAACCUAAGAGUCUGGGCUUUUAAAUUGUUUGUUUAGUUAUUUUAUUGUACAGGACACUGGGGCUCUGAUAGAUUUAGCCUUUGUCCACAGUUACAGAGACAGUCAGCUUUUCUGAUUCUGCAUAGUGCUUUUCAUUCUAUCACUGGCAUCUCAGCACCAGGGCCACCCCUGCUUUACAUCCCAGAGACUGGAAGCCUGAGGCUUAUAUGCCCAUGGAUCCUUGCCAACAGUGCCCAGGUAUAUUAGACGCCACUGAAAAGAAAUAUUUCACAGAAUGUGGAUGGAAAUAACUGGGAUUACUGAGUGUCCUGUGUCUGCAACUCCAUGACUCCAUGAAAGAGAACGGAAAAAAACGAGAGCUAGCAACAGUCUUCUCUGACCUGUUUGUCGAAUACUCCCAAUGGUUUUGUAUGCACCUAAAUCCUUAAAUUAUUUCCCAUUCGAAUGCCUGGAAUAGUUUGUAUUUUUUUCACCCAACCCUCACUAAGACAACCAUACAGCCAUUUGCUCCUGUACUCAAGCUAACAUUCUAUGCUGUACAUCUUUCUGUAUAAACACACUUUAUUAACAAAAAUUUCCUUAUUUGUCAACUUCACCUUUACAAACUGAAUUGUUUUCAUGGCAGAGGUCAUAACAUAAUCUGUUUUCACUGUUUCUGGCACAUAAUGAUGCAGCUGCUGAAUAACUAGCAGUUGACUGAAUGAACUAAGCUCAAACCCCUUUCUAAUAUUUCUUCCUAAACAUCAUCUAUCUACUCCCAUGACUGUUCUCUUUCAAGAAAUACAAAUUCAGAAGAGGAUCACUGGGAUCAGAAUAUUUUUAAGCACUGAAACUCUAAUGUCUUAAGAGAUUAAAGGGCAGGCUGGGAAAUACGUGAGGAAUUCAAGGAAAGCUAUCUUUUGUGUGAAAGCUACUAGAACAUCAAGGGAUACAUUUCUAGGGAAUAGCUUCUGUUGUGGCUCCUUAAAAGUUGGCUUUGAGGAGACUAAGGGAUCCUGAUAGUCUCAUUGAAUGUCUUAUUUUAUACCUAUAACUCAGCUCUGAUUCUACAUCUUUCCUUCCCCUCCUAACUAUGCUUACUUUUAUAGACGUUUCAUUCUUGCUGAUUCACACCCAAACUUCAUGGUUUAUGCUCUUGUGGAAGACAAUAAUAAGAGAUAUCCACUUAUAUUUUUUAUACAUUUUAUAAGUAUACAUUUUAAAAUUUUUCCUUUAUGUUUCUGCCAACUCUAUCCCAAACAGAGAGAUGACUGCAUAUUCAUAUCCUCAGGGGAAGAAUAUAGUCUCUGAUCACCAGGCAGAGAGUCUCUGAUCAUCAUGGACUUUGCUUUAUAAAGGUCAUAUGGGUAAAAGUUGUUGGGUGGCAGAGUUCAUCACUUAUCAUCAAAGAAGGGAUAGCUGUAUUGUGGAUCUAGGUAGGAGGGACUGCUGACUGCCUUGCAAAGUUUGUGUGUCUAAGCGUGGCACAGAAAAAGCUGAGAGCCAGGUGCCUAAAGGGUCAUGCUAGCCAGGUGCUGACCAUCUCAUGAAUGCCUAUGUGGAUAAAUAACUUGAUGAUCAGAGGAAGUCUCCCACCAAAGCCUUAUAACCUGUUAGAUAAUUGUUGGAGUCCAAAACCUUAGCAUACCCUGAAACAAAAUUAGAGUGGAUUUCCCUCCAGCCUGAUGAAAUGGGCUCUCUUGAAUGAGAAAUAAAGUCAAUUUAUGGCAGUAAAAAUUACGUUUUAUACAUACCGAAUUUUUGGGUUUUGAUUCAUAUCUGCUAUAAAAUCAAGAACUCAGACUGUUACUGAAGGAAAUGCUCUGUGCCCUAAUUCUGAGUCAAAAGCUACCUGAUUAUGGGCUUUCCAACAAUUCACUUCAGUUGGAAGCAAGGAAUGACUUCAUCCUUGGCUGGCUAUACCUUGACCAUCACUGGAAGGGAAUAACCAAGGAAAAAGCAACAGUUGGAGCAACAGAGGGCCUCUUGGUUUAAGUAGAAUAAAUAUCAACACAAGUUAAAAUCCAUGAUGGAGGAAAAAGAAUCAAGUCAAACUUUUGCAAUCAGUUAGACAAGGAACUGUCACAUUUUCAGAAUCAGAAGGGUUUACAAGCUGCUUAUGAGCAUGCUGCUUAUCACUUAAAUAGUGCUUGUUAUAUACCAAGCCCCAUUCUAAACGAUUAACCCACACAACCCUUACCACAGACUUAUGAGGCGUAUUAUAUUAUUAGUCCCAUUAUGUGGAUGAAGACUUGAUGACACAUGGGAGUUUUGUGACCCUUCCAAGGUCUUAUCGAUGGUAACAGGCAGUUCUGAGAUUUGAACUUAGUGUAGCUACAGAGUUCAGCUUGACCAACACACAACGCUGCCUUUGCCCAUGAAAAAAACCCACAAAUCUCUGAAUGGUAUAACCUCCCAAUAAAGAGACUAUCAUACCUUUUAUUUUAAAGAUGAGGAAAUAGCAGCAAAGAAGGUAAAGAGAUUUGCUCAGGAUCAUGUAGCUCAACACAUCACUCAUCUUUGUUUUAUGUUAAAUGAUAUUCAUUGUCAGUCAAGUUAACCACUUUGUUAUUAAUAUUUCCCAAGAGGCAAAUCAAAAGUUUUAAAUCCAGCCUUUUAUGGCCUUCCAGGAAUUUUACCUAAAAUGCUCUUAAGCUGACAUGGGACCGCAGUGAUGGGAUGCCAAGUGGUCUCAGAGGCCAGAAAAAGCACCUUGAUGGGUAAUUCCCCUGGGUGUCUGGGACACAAGGCUGUGCCAGGAAACCACUUAACAGAAGAGCAGGCAAGAAAUCAAGGAAAGGGAACCCAGGGGAUUUCAGUGUAGUCAUUUAGGAAUAAGGGAAUUUGAUGCUGAGCAAGGUUUCCUCUACUCUUAAUGAAACACCUAGGAUUAGAAACCUGUGUUUUGUAAAGGUGACCUUUAUGUUGCUUUAUUUAUGAGAUAUCAAUUUCAAAACGAGAUUCGUAUGGAAAAUUCCUCUCCCUACAAAAAGCAAAGGGAUCAUUUUGAUUCUCCCUUGUCUUUUAGCAAGGACUAGCAUAUAGCUGUACUGACUCAUUGACAUGUCCAAAGGCCAUGUGACAAAGUACUGUUAAGGAAAAUAAGACCCACUGCUAUCUCCUGAAGAAUUAUUUAAUUGUGGGCCGAAUAUAUAUAUAUAUAUAUAUAUAUAUAUUUAUUUAUUUAAAUCCAUCAUGGGGACAAGAUAUUGCAACAAGAAAGCUGUGUUAUUUAGAUCACUGGACAUUGAGUGACCUCUCAUGUUAAUCCUUUCUGCUUUGGUUGCAUUGACAUGUCCUGUCAUUGACAAGCUCAGACUUGCCUUUUAACAACCACUGUUGUUAUCUGAAGGCUGAAAAGAUAAUAUUAAAAAAAAAAAAAGUCACUUACUCGUUUCUAACCUUUUCAACCCUUAUUUCAAUUUUCAUCCUAAGAAUACUCUUACUGAUCGCAGAAAAAGAAACACACGAUGGUGAAAAUGAUGCAUCUGCCAACUUACAAAAAGACGUCUUAAAAGUGAAAACAGAGGCAAGAAAGUAAUUGAACCUGUGCUGAGAGGCUAUUGACAAAGCCCAAAGAAACAAAGAAAUAUGAGAGUUAACUUGGGCAACAAUAACACACACUAAAACUCUUGCUACCAGAACCCUGAGUUGUUUUAAGUUAAUGGUGGGAAGAAAGUGCUGUAUACUUAAAACAUAAUCACUGCUGCCAUUGUCAAGGUCCUAUUUAUUAAGUUAGAAAAACGUAACAGAUUUGGAAAUUAAAAUAGAUAGAAGAAACACAUUUUUAAUUUUUAAAUACCUGCUGAAAUUCUAAUGUUCUCUCUAAUAAAUACAUUGUUUCAAUAUGGAUGUAUACCUACAAAGCUAUAGAAUUGUUGCUGUUGCCCAGAAGACACUAGAGGGGAUACAUCAACUCAUGAUCAACCGAAUCGGAUCGAAUCUCUUUUUAUUUUCCUUGAAGGAGCCUGGUUCUGGGGAUUUUGCCUAACCAAGCAAACAACUAACUUCAUUAUGGCUUCUAGACAAACCAUGCAAUGAACAAUAUAGCAAAAUGGAGGCAGUGGCCGAACCAACCCUGGCCUUUAAGUUAGUUUUCCAAUACCUUCCACUCAGGCAAAGACAAAUUUGGCAGGUACUUACCGCAUUGAAAUUGGGGAAGAGGUUGACUGCAGCUGCAGUGUCAAGAGGAAAGGGAAGAAAUGGUUUAAUAUCCAGCGAUGGUUGCAAAGGAGGGGCUGGUGGACGGACAAGGGCCGGGAGAGCAGGACUCUGGCAUGUACCACCUGUGAAGACCAGAGCAAAGGGAGCAAUCAGGGACACCACGCAUGGAAAAAAACACCAAAGUUGCUUUUGAGACAAAAAAGGCCAGCUUUGUGGGUCACUGGAAAAAACAAGACAUGGACUCUAUUGACCUCAACUGGGAACCGGCCAAUGAGCAAAUUUGCCAUUAGGCAGAGGGAGCUAGUUGAACUGCUCCAUUUUCCUUUGAUUAUAACUAUCUGGUUAUGUAAGUAACAUCAACAUUUCAAAUGCCCCAACCUGUCUUUAUUUUCCUGCCUAGAGCUCCAGAUUGGGUCAGUCACAAAUCUGCAACCAAGAUCUCUGAAUUCAAAGGGAAAACCCCUCCAUCAUGCACCCAUCCCUCUUUGAAAACUAAACCACUCACAAUAUGCAUUAAGUCUGAGUGAUUAUUUUACAGAACUGCUCUUUGCUACCACAUCCAAAACUCUGGCAGCAAGAUUACAUGAACUUGGCACAUAAAAGAAAUUUAACCUCGAACUCAGGCAGCUGUACCUUACUGCUCUAGCAACUGGAGGAUUAAAAACCAGCAAAACCAGUGCUACGACGAUGUCUGAACUAUUCAGCACCCCUACAGCUCUGAGUAUUCAACAACUCCCUGCCUCCCUCCCAGUCAUGAGUAGGUGGAAUUUAGAUGGCCACUGUUGAGCAGGCAGUGGGAAUAUUAUGCCAACAAAGACAUCCCCUUUGCAUGCCAGUAAGUAGCCAGCCUUUUGCAAGAGAGCACAUACAUUUGCCCCGUUAUAGGACUCUGCCACACUCAGGAGCUGGAAGGAUGGAAGCCCAUCUUUAGUGUUCAGUCUCCCAUAUUUUGGUAACAUUCCAAAACAUCAAUUUGCUGUUAAUUAAAGGCUGUUUGAAUCCUAGGAAACUGUUAAAAUAUGCCAGCAUUCUUCUAAUCUGAGAGGCAAGCAACAGACUGUAAAAACCUGCUGGUGAGAAUCCAACAAGCAUUAGGAAAGCAAAAUGCAGUGGGAUUUUUUUCUCUCUAACAGUAAAGAAUUCUAGGAGACAUGCUUGCGCCACUUACUUGCCUGCCAUCUCGUUUUUAAAAACAAAGUAGAGUGAGUCUCCUCGUAUAAAUUGCCUUUGCAAAUUUCACAACAAACUCUCUGGCCAACUGCACACAGAACAUCAUCUUGCCCUCAAUCAGUUACCAGAGCGCAAAAUUAACAUUCUGAAAAUGAUUCCCCAAUGAUAAAUCCAACCCUAUGGAGCCACGGAGGAUCUGCUAACAAGGUAGAUGACUUAGUACCUAUAACAGAAGCCAUCAGCACAGGAUUUAAUUAACCAUACACAAGAACCAUCAGCUCUCCUGCUCCCAGGUAUAAAAUCAGCUGGAGCCAAAUUAAGAAAAACAGUAUUUUCCCCCACUGUCUUACCUUCCUUCUUGAAAUAAUAAUAGCACGGCCAACAAUAGCAAAGUCAAUAACUGAAGUCUGUAAUCAGUAAACUAAUUUUCAAAGUAGUACAAGGCAGUAAAUAAAGGGCAGAUGUCAAAACAAGUAGAGAUAACAACGAAAUAUAAUAAGUCUACAUUCACCAGAGCACACACACUAUAAACUUAGUUUAUUGUCCACUUGGUAGUGUAUUGAGUGUGAGUGUGUAACCAUUUUUAGAGAGGGCAUCCAUAAAACUUUAGUGAUAGACCUGUCAUGAGUUUAGUGUUGUUAAAAGUUUCUCUUUUAUUAAAAAUUUUAAAAACCAAAAUAAAUUUUUGGAUGGUACAUCUUUAAAAAACUCAGAAGUAAGGCCAGGUGUGGUGGCUCACGCCUGUAAUCCCAGCACUUUGGAAGGUCAAGGCGGAUGGAUCACUUGAAGUCAGGAGUUCAAGACCAGCCUGGCUAACACGGCGAAACUCCAUCUCUACUAAAAAUACAAAAAUUAGCCAAAUGUGGGGUGCACACCUGUAAUCCCAGCUACUUGGGAGGCUGAGGCAGAAGAAUCACUUGAACCCAGGAGGCAGAGGUUGCAGUAAGCCGAGAUCGCACCACUGUACUUCAGCCUGGGCGACAGAGCAAGACUCUAUUUCAAAAACAAAAACUCAGAAGUAAAGUAAGAUUUGGUCGAAAUCAGUGAUGUGGUGAAAUUUAAGAAGUAGUUUUAAAUUACUUUUAUUUUUGUUGUUGCUUUUGAGACAGGAUCUCACUCUUGUUUCCCAGGCUGGAGUGCUGUGGUGCCAUUAUGGCUCACUGUAGCCUCAACCUCCCGGGCUUAGCUGAUCUUCUCACCUCAGCCUCCCAAGUGGCUGGGACUACAGGCGCAUGCCACCAUGCCCACCUAGUUUUUGUACUUUCAGUAGAGACGGGUUUUUGCUAUGUUGCCUAGGCUGGUCUCAAACUCCUGAGCUCAAGCAAUCCACCCACCUCGGCCUCCCAAAGUGCUGGGAUUACAGGUGUGAGCCACCAUGCCCGGCCCUAAAUUACUUUCAUUUGUGUCACACAUCAUUCUUUGCAAAUGAUAUUCAUAUACAUUCACCUGGUUUGAUUCUAAGAUUUCAGAAAUUCGGUAAGGGUUAACAACAUAACAUCAUGUAGAGAAAAAGAAAUAUGUUGAUAAACUCUGCAGUUGUUUAUCUUGCUUCCGCAGAAAAUACCAUGCUUAUAAUUACAAGAAUGCAAUUUAGCAAGAAAAUAUUCUACAAUUGUUUAUUUUAAGUCCUCCUCUGGUUUAGGGUAUCCAAAGAAGUUAAGGAAUAGCUCAAGCUGAUUUUUUAUCUAGCACAAUGAGAGAUAUAAAUAAUAAAAAUAUGUCCAUUCAAUUAUCAUGUAAAUUUAAUUUCCCAUUCUCUCUUUUAGGAUAUCUAUUUCAUUUAUACUUGUAUAAACAGUUCAAGGUCCUCUCUCAGUGUUGCAACUGGAGUUUCCUUCCUAGGGGUUAAAAAAACCUUCAAAGAAGAGUCAUAAAAACCUUAGAAAGUUCGAAAAAAUAUUUAAGCUCAUCUCUUCUCACCUGUUGGAAGAGAGCAAUGUAUAAGAUUGUAGGAAAGCAGAGGACAUGUGUCUACAUAUUUUUAGACUAUCUGCUAUGCAAAUACAGGUGUAGGGAUGCUGUGGGUCUGAUUCCCAGAACCCCCUUCGGCACCAAGGCACUCCUCUCAGCUGCUUGGAGUGCUGGUGGCUGAUGUCCCUGGCCUGAGAGCCUCUUUACAAAUUGCCCUGGGCCAAAGGGAGCUGCCUUACCUAAGGUGACCCUUAAGUGGAGGAGUUGAUAGCCCCAAGCAAUGACUGAUUCAUGCAGGAGUUUACUGGCUUUGCCCCCUUGCCUCAAAGCAGGAAAACUCUGAAGCUCUAUUUUACCUCCAAAGUUCCUCAUGGCAUCUAGGGUAGGCUGAGGCCUCUGCUGUGACUACAUCACAGUCCAGCUCCUUCCUCUUCCCAAUCCUAUAUCCCUCACGUCUCACAAAUGAUGUUUCCAUGAGCACUCCCUAAUAAAGUCUCAGAGCUCACUUUCAGAAUAACUUGAUCUGUGACACCAGGAUACAGCAAUUCAGGUGUUUAAGUAAAAUGAAAAAUUGCUUUAUUCUAAAAUAGAUGCUUGCCUCCAAACCUAUAGCACUGAUAUUGAGGCACGAAAUCGAAGCUACUUCUUAAAAAUUAUCUGUGACUAACAUUUCUGCUUUUGAAAUCUGGAUUAGUCCUAAAAUAUUUUACUUGUACCAAUCUGUACUUGCUCAGCAACAAGAAUACUAUUUGCAAAUAGUGCAAAAUCAAAACCGGCAAAUAUAAUAUGUUUCAUCUGUAAAGCAAAGUAAAAUAUUCUCUUUGAGAAAAUAGCUAUUUCGUUUUCCCAUAUUUAAAUAGAAACUAUUGCAUCUAAGGUAUGAAUAAAUGUUUAUUAUUUUACUUAUCAUAAAAUUAUCUUGAUAACUAUAAACAUGAAAAUGUAUAAUAGAUUUGUAGACAUUUCUAUAGGUGAGAAAGUUUUGUUCUUAAUGUUUACCAACAAUGUCACUUUAUUCAUUGGAAUGCCACAUUUCUGGAAAUAUUAAUAUUCUUAAUUGAAGCAGGUCUUUUAAAGCCUCCAUGGAGUAGGGUCAGAAAAAUAUAUAAACUCUAUGUCUAGUACCACAUAUUUCAUAGCCUAUGCUAUUUUAUUACACAGUUUUAACAAAUUAGUCUGAUUUCAGAGAAGUUACUAUCUCUACACCAAAAUUUGUUGUGUGACAUUAAAGUCAACAAAUGACAAAAGCAUUUAUUAGUACAGAAUAGCAAUCAAUACUGAAUAAGGUACUGAAUAAUUAAUGUAAACUAAGUGAUCAUUAAUGUUCACAAAAUUCUUCUCCCUCCUUUUUUGAUGUUUUUGUUAGCAUAUGUUUAGAAUUUAAGUUUCAAAUGCGAACUAUAGAAUAAACAUAAUAAAUGUUGUUUCGGUCAAUUUAAAAGGGCCGUAUAUUCACAAAAGUACUAACUUGUGAAUAUGAAAAAACAAAAACAGAGUUACUAAUUCCUAAGUAUUUGUUAAUAGAGACUGAGAAAGUAAGACACAUUCAUUUCAGAAGUUUGCAUUUUUGAAAAGCAAAUUAAUAUGUAAAUUUAGACAUGUUUGUUUUGAUAAUUCAUACAGAUAAAUAGGAACUCUAAACCAGUGGUUGUCAGUGGAAAUUUACUGUAUUAGAUAAUAUAUAUAAAGUGCCCUAACACAGUGCCUGGCCAACUGGCGCUCACCACAUGAGAAAUAUAUUUUUUAAUGAACCGAAGAACUUCCAAAGCAGCUACUUAGGCUUUCUGAAAGCAGUCAAUCAAGAUAAUUUUAAAGCUACCUUCAUUUUUUUCUCUUCGCUUAUCUUGACUGCCUCAGAAGAAUGAUCACAAUAAGAGGUUACUUUGUAAAUUAAUAUAUUGAAAUACUCCAUGAGAGUGCGGUGGUUUUCUCUCCAUAAUACAACGCUUUUAACCUUGAACUUCUGCACUCAAUCCAUUCAGCAUUCGUCAGUCACAGACAUCCUGCCUGACAACUUCAUCUUAAUCUUAACCUUAAUCUACUACUUAAUCUUUCAUUUCCCCAGGUGACAAAACUGAAGUUCAAAAUGAUCACGGAUUGCCACUGUUAAAUAUUCAUGCCAAUGGAGAAUUUCGUGCAUCAUUAAAACAUAUAUAUAUUGAUAGAAAACAGCAGAAACAUCUAAUUUCCUGAUAGGAUCAUUUCUAUAGUAUCUUUAGUAUCUUUUCCCUACAUCAUCAACUUAUCUGUAUUGAAAUAUAUAUACUUAUUUAUAUUAAAAUAUAUAUGCACUUAUUUAUAUUGACAUAAAUACUUAUGUUGAAAUUAUGUGUUUUUCAAUAAUAAGCUAUGAUUACAUUACUAAACUCCUCCAAACAUUCACAUAUAGCAGGAAAUCAUACAGAGCAUUUUGUAUAAUAUUAGAUCCUAAGUAGUUAUUUAAUAAGCAACUAAUUUGACAUACAUGGAGAAUUAUUCAAAUCCAUUUUCAAAUAUUUCAGUUAGAAUUUGCUAUGUCCACCGGGCAAGAGAGGGACUCACUAUAGGAAUUCAGAGGUCUAUGUGAUAGUAGGCAUAAAAACUUUAGAUCUGAUCCUACUAAUAAGAAGUCGAAAAUAAAUAACGGCAUAAAUGCUGAGAAAUAAAAAUGAAAUCCUAAGGCGCCCCCCCCCCCCCCCCCCCCCCCAAUGACUGAACGAAUCCCCUUUGGCCAAGGAGAACCCAAAGAAACCUUGAAAACUGAGUUCCCAGCCAUGAAGGGAUGGGAGAUCAGACACGCCUACUUAUACCCCCUCCCUCACUAACAGCCAUUAGCCUUUCUUCCUUAUGGGCUAACCAGAAACUAGCCCUUUCAACCAAACAACUGAUGCUGCUCCGUUUUAAGUUUCCACAAAAAAAAUGGACCAGCAUUCCUUGUGGGUAAGAGACCACCGAUGGCAGAGUGCUUCUUGCUCAGUCUAGGGAGAAUACGCAGUGAAGGUUUUUGUGUCCUCUGCUACCCUAUUUGACAUCAGAGGGCUCCAGACUUCAGCCUUGGAUCAUGCUAACAUCGCCAUUUUUUGAACACAGGUCCCACGGAGAGGCAUAAAGCUCAGUUGUGCAUGUACAUCUUCUACUUUCAUAAAUAUUCAUGGCUCCUUUUAUAGCAUAUUACACAUGUAUUUGGCCACCUCUUUCAGCAUAAAUUCCUGUUCCCUUCGUCCCUUCCUUGAAGUGUCUGUUUCUGGCUUCUGGUUGGAGGCUAUGCUUCCCCGCCUGUCAGAAUGGCCAGCCUGCAGGCUGCAAACGUUUAUGAAAAAUAAAGCUCUCCUUUCCAAAUUUAAGAAUAUCAUCAUUCUUCAGUUAAAAAAGCAAAACUUGAUUUGGCCAAAACAUUGGCCAUGGAGUGCUGUAGUUAAUGGAAUUGGCCAGCCAGGGUGGGAGUAAAGCUAGAGAAUAUAGAUAAUUUAAUAUAUCUAUUCAUUAAUUGGCAUGGAUUAGCCUUCUAUCCUCUUAAUUCCUUUAAAACACACAAUUCUGCCAGGUAUCUCUUAUAAUAUCCAAUGUAUAAAAUCAAAAGCCAAGCUUCUAGGAAGCAAAAUAUCUUACCAGAAAGAAACUGAACAACUCUAAUGAUUUUUAAUGCACUGAUACAAAUAGCUUUUGAACUAAAACAACAAUAUGAUAAAAACAAAACAAAACAACAAUUUAAAAAAUACACCUUACAGAAUCAUUUUGUCAAAUUAGUUCCGAGACAUAAUUUGUUAAAGCCAGCUAUCUUAUGAGAGGUUUUUAUGAAAGGAAGGUGGAAGGAAGGAAGGAAGGAAAGAAGGGUCACAUUCCUUGUGAAGGAAUAUUCAGUAUUUAUCGCUGAUUUUUAUCCCCAGCAUGGGAACAUGCUGGCACUGCCUUAUAUUUGAAGAAGAAUCCAGAAAGAUAUGAGUAUCAUAUCAAAUAUGUUUCAAAACCCCUCAAAUUUACAUUCUUUAACAUCUGCUGACCAAAUCGGAUAAAUAAAUAUGUGUUUGUCACAUUCCCUUGCAUGUCUGCCUCUCAAAUAUUCAAGGUUGUUGGUUGGGGAUAACAAUGAGCAAUUUUCCUGUUGGGAUUUUUUACUCUUUGUCCAGGAAAAUUGUAUGUUUACCCAUAUUUCCUUAAACCUCAGUCAUCCAAACUCCAUCCAGUUCCCAUCUCUGUCAACAGAAUGAUAUAACUAAAAACAUAUUUUGACAUAAUAUUUGAAUUUAGUAUGAUUUGGUAACCAUUUUUCUUUCGUUGUUUCUUUUUUUCUUUUCUUUUCUUUUUUUCUCCCCGCCCCUCUCCUCUGUUUUGGAUUGUUGAUUCACUGACUAGGUUUCAGAAAGUUGAUCCAGCACUUACUAUAAAGCUCCUCAUUGACCUAAAGUGAACUGGCCUUAGCAGGUCAACUCAAAUGUUGAAACUCAAGGUCUGAUCCCAUAAGGGCAAGUUGUCAGCCCUAAUCCACACAGGAUGGUGACUGCUGUCUCAUACAUCCUGCUUAUGACCACAGAGAGGAAUGAGGUGAGAAUGGGAGUAUGAGUCAGGGCAAUUGGAGCUCCAUUCUGGAAAUACUGAUUCAAAAACAUUUGCCCAUGUCAAUGGUCAGUGAUUCGAUCUUUUCCCAUGAAGGAAAUCACAUGGAAGUGAUCUGGGUUUCCCCUUGUCCAAAUUAUUUAUUCAUUUUCAGUUGUGGUAUUUAAAUAUUCCAGUAAGUCACCUCAACACACUUGGAAGGAAGCUAGGAAAGAAGCACUAAUAAUAUUUUAUCUGUCACUGUCAUUAAAUGCCACGACCAAAAUCAAAACACUGAUAAUUAUCCAGUUGCCAAUAUCCUGAAUCAAGGUCUCCACUAGAAGAAAAACGGGAUCUCUCACUUAUUUAACUAACUUUGAUGACAAUUUCUGGUGCCUGAAACAUACUAGAGAAAAAUUAUGUUAGGAGUAUCAGGCAAGGAGUUUUAAAUAUUUAACCCCAAAUAUCCCUCUGUACUGCAGCCCCUUUGUCAGGUAGACAGUGAAUAAUUCAGGACAGGUGCCUGCUUUAUAGGAAAUCAAAAGAUUUUGCCUGGAAUAUUCCUCUCAAGUUUACUGCUAGUGAUAUAGAAUAUAAAAUCACAAAAUUUCCCUCCAGAGGAAUUUCUUAAAAUUAAAUUUCACACCAUGAAUCAUAACUAAUAAAAGAGGUAUCAUGCUGGGAUGUCUAAUAUGGUGGCCAUUGACAGUCACAUGUGACUAUUUUAAAUUUGAAUGAAUUAAAAUUAGUACAAUAAAAAAAAUUCAGUUAUCAGUCACACUAGCCGCAUUUCAAACGUCUGAUAGCCACAUGGGGCUAGAGGCUUCUGUAUUGUACACUGCACAUAUAAAACACUUCCAUUCUCACAGAAGGUGCUAUUGGACAUUACAGCUCCAGUGCAAAGCAAUGUUCUCAAGCAGCAAAUAAUUUACAGAUAAGAUGCUUGAUACAGUCUGUUUCAAAAUGAAUUGCUAAUGGGAGAGAAACUCUUGCUUUCUCCUGGGUCCUUUGACUUUUCAGAUUGAGGAGAAGAGUUUUCUCAGAGCUGAAUGUGUCACUGUCAGAAGCCAGACACCGUUGGGACCAUGCCAGAAAGAAAUCAUCGUCCAUUUCUAGAGAUGACCAUGGCAGUCUAUGAAUCUUCAUGUGUGAGCAAUGAUGAUCAUACUCAAAGAACAAACCAAAUUUUUAAAAAGUUAAUGAUUAAGUAAACACUAAUGAAUAAUGUGUGCUUUAGAUAAAAAUAAUAUCACAUUUUUGAACCAAGCACGCAUAAAGGAGCCAGUCAUAGGGCAAAGGAGUGUUUAUUAGUAUCUGAUAACCCUUGGAAGUACAAUCACAAAGUUUUCAUUUCUGCCAACAAAUUGUGUCAAAAUCUAGUCUCAUUAAUGGCAAGUGUUUAAACUAAGCUAAUGUAUGCAGUUAAACCUGGCUUACUACAUCUGUCUCUCAGGGAAAUUUUACCCAUGAUAUCUAGGCUUUGGUCAUCUCACUCUUUAAAAAGAAAAAAUAAUGCUAAAAUCUUGUUACAUGGUCUUGUUUACUCAUGAUCUGUACCUCUUAACUGAGACUUGCCUGCACGAACUUCUCUGUGCCAGUGGGGCUGGGCAAAAGGGAGAGACUGUUUAGAAAAGGAAAGAAUGGUCAACAUUGUCUCAGGCUGCAGAAGGAUCAAGUAAGAUGGUAAUGUCUGAUAGAUUUAAUGUCAUGGAGAUUUUUGGUGACCUUUACGAGCCAUUUAAGUGCAGUCAUUUAUGUGGGUCGCAUUACAGAGAAGCCACUUUUGAGGAGGGUGAGGAAUGAGUGAGGGUAUCAUAAUGGAGACCAAUGGAGACAAUUAUUUUCUCCACUUUGACUGGGAAGGAAAAGUAGAGUGGGACACUAUACAUAUGGGUAAAUAAGCCUGAUAGGCAUAGAAAGGAACUGAUUCAAUCCAGAAUAUCUAAUAAAACUCACUUUUGGAAUGUCACAUUUCAACUAGCAAUUUAGACCCCAAAAUGUGAAUCAUAAAAUGUAAAUUAUAACCCCUGAAAGCAUAGUAAGCAAUGUAAUUUGUGUUAUCUAAGUUACAUUGCACCCAACUUGCUCUUGAAACCUACAUCAAAGUAUUACUAAGAAAACCAAUCAUCUAUUCCUGGUGCAGGAUGCAGCUCAAACACGAGUUACUCUAUUCAGUAUUUCCUGGACAUCUCUGUAGAAAGAUCACUCCCUGGUGCCCUGCUCUGGCCUGCACAGGCUUCCUUCUAGCCAACAUUACUAGACUUACUUGACUUUGUAUCUGUCUCCCUAUAUGAGGAAGCUGUUUGUUAAGAAGAAUAUCUGUUCCAUUCAUUCUUGACUUCUAUAUAUUAGGAGGUUCCUGGUAUCUAUUAAGUGACUUGUGUAUUGUUUUAGAAAUGGAUGGAUGGAUGGAUGGAUGGAUGGAUGGAUGGAUGCAUGGAUGGAUGGAUGGAAAAAUGAGUGAGCAAACAAAUGAAUACAUGAAGCUGAAUCAUCACAGCCUGCUGAGAUAUUGUACCCAUUUUUUUAUUGUGUCCAAAUUAACAAUGGUGUACAUUUACAAACCAGCAGCUUCUUUGAAGAACUAGAAAAGAAAAGCGGAUUAAACUAUCAGAGUUUAUUGGAGUGUACUGCUAAAAGGUGAGAAACAUUUUAUCAAAGAUUUUUAGUGCAAUUAAGCUCCCAUUAUUGUUUUCUUCAGAAAAAUAAAUGGCCCAAACACACUAAGUCCUAGGCUUUUUAUUUUAUUAACAUCUUUUCCUCUAUCUUUCUUAAACAUGGAUUUCAUUUUUAGGUGUAAAUUUAUGCUAUCUCAUAAACAACUCCCCUUGAUUCCCGUGGCAUAAAAGCAAUAUUAUUUCUGCUUCCAUACACUGGGUACUGUACUGGGUCCUCUGUAGGAUAGCUCCUUUGAUCUUUUAAUAGUCUAGUGAAUAAAGAAAUGGAGCAGUAGUAAGGUUAAAACAAUUGCUCAAGUUCAUGCAGUUAGUAAGUGGUAGAGCCAGGAUUUGUCCAAAAACAUUCUGCUUCCAGAGUGUAAGUUCUUAUAUCUACAUUUUGUUCAGAGAUUGCCCUUUUUUGAUGAAAGGUGGUAGAGAAAAAAUGUAUAAACAAAAAGCUAGUUUCAAUUAAACUUUGCCAGAGCAAGUCAAAUCAGUAUAUACUAAGAGGCGAUCAUUUGUAAGGCAAAGGAUUAUUCAAAAAGCAAUUUCAUAAGCAUCUUGCCUCCACAAGUUUAUCAUGUUUAUAAUCCAGUAUAUUGUAGAUUAUCCAUAUGUUGAGUCUACCAGAUAACCAUGUGUUUUUCCAUAGGUAUUAGAUUUGUAUUCUUUUUGUAUCAACUCAUUAUUUAUUCAAUUGUCCCUUUUAUUUUGCCUGCAUAGUUUAGAAGAACAAAAUAGAAACUAAGUUUGCAUUCAACGUAACUAAUUCUACUUAAUGAUGAUAGCUCUAAGAACAUUCACUUGAUUGUGAAUGUUUUCACUCAACGUUCCGUUGUGAUUUUUUCCACAUUUUAAUCUAAUGUUAUUUCAUAAAGACCAUGGCACAAAAUUCCUAGGAAACCUAACUGUUGUUGGCAUGUCACUGUCACCAGCAUCAAAUUAAAUAAAAUUUAUUAAGAACAGUGAAUACCACACUGUCACUGUUUUAAGGGCCUAUAUUUAGCACAUCUCUAGCAUUUGCAGUACCCAUUAGCUUCCAAGGUUUAGGAACUGUGAGUUCUUGGAUUCCAUUGCUUUGGUGAACAUUCUUACAAACUCUAUAAUACCAAAAAGAUACUCUGAUUUCAAUUUCCUUAAGAACAUUCCCUGCGGAGCUGACUUGAGCUCUGUUUAGUCUCGGCCUCAAUGUGAUUGUUUCUUCUGGCAGGUUGUGCUUAAAACAAACCUUACUUUAUAUUUUCUUUUAAUUCUGAAACAUUUAGUCUUUGGAGAAGAUGUAAAAUCAGUUCCUAAUGGAAUUGUAGUAAUUGUGGAAUCCCAAAAAGGAUUUACUUUAAAUGGAAGAGAAAUAAAAUGCCUAUUAAAUGAUUGUAAGCAAGAAGAUCCACACAACCAUAUUUUAUUUUUAUAAGGAGUCCUGUCCCUUUGAGCCUAUAUUAUGGUCUAGGUUCUUUGCUGGAUAACUUUACAUACAUUAUUUGUAUAAACAAUGAAGAUAUCCUUAUUUUCAUUUUACAGGUGAAGAAAAGGAGGUUUAGCAAGAUCAUCUUACUCAAGAUAAACCACUCGCUAAAUGGUAGAGCUAGGUAGAAUUAGAAACCAGAUAGGGAUGAUUUCAAAGCCCAUAUGUAUUUUUUUUUUUAUUGUAUUAUACCUCUCUCCUUUUCAAAUAUCUACCAAGUCCUGAUUUCCACCAAAUUGAAAGAACAACUGAUAGGAGCAGAAAUGUCCUCCAAGGAAAGGACCUGCAUUUUCACAUUCAAAUGGCCAGAAGGCAGCAGAUAUAGGAUUUACAAAUCCAGAAAAAAAGAGAAACUGCUUAUAGCCCCAGGUAGAAGAAAGUCCUCAUAUCAGGGUUAAGGAGCUAUCACCAAUGCAACACAUAAGGAAAGGGACAUCUAUAUUAUGAUAAAAGGAAAGACAUCGUAAAAUAGUGCAGUUAAACACAAGGAUUAAAGCUAAACUAACAUGAAAGGGACGCAAAUAAUCAGUGGGACUUGUCAUUGCUGGGGGCCAUGUCAGUGGAGAUAAUGAGCAUUAAAGGCUAAAUCUGAGGCAGCUUUUGGGAGGGUCCCUGGGCCCUGAGAAUCCCAGCACUGACCAGAAGUCCAAGAUCAGAGGCCAAGGUUAAUGAGAAAACACAGGUUUUUCUGGUUGACAUCAUCAUGUUCUCACCCUCUUGUGAAUUGCAGCCUAAAUAUACAAAUCUGGAGCUUGGCAUGAGGCACAUAUACAUCUUGACUUGUACAACUAAUUCCCAUCCAUUUUGCUCAACUCAGGCUGAGCCAGAAUUAACUAACUAAUGCAGAAUGCCACAGAAAUUGCAUCUGAUUUUUCUUUGGCUGCAGAUUCACUAGAAGCUCAUGUUCUUACUAUUCCUUAGAAUUUGGGAGUCUAGAAAAGCACAGGCCUAAAUAAAUUUCUAAGAGAGAAAUUUAAUUUAACAAUUAGAGUAAAAUAUUCUGGUAAUGAAAUUGUAUUCUGCUAGUGUGUGGGGGAUCAUAUAGACUGAAUUAUUUAAAGCAGUCCUAAUUUCAAAUAAUAAUAACCAGUAAAAUAAUAAUAAUAACCACUCUAAAUUUUGAGUAGUUCAUAUAUACAUAGGCUGUUAAUUUUCAUAGCAAUUCUGUUAGUCCUUAAUAAUUUAGUUUUUUAGUUGUGGAAACUGGGGAAUCUAUGAAAUUAAGUACUCUGUAGCAGCUAAUUCAACCUAUGCGUACAUAGGUUGAUUGAUUUUAAUGCUCGUUCUUUGUAAAAAUCAUAUUAUCUGUAUUGUCCCCAUAAGCCAAGUAUAAGAAUCCAUUAUACCACUCCCCUUCUAGUACUCAGGGCAUAUAUUAUUCAUCAAUUAUAUUUCCAGUUGGCCUCAGAAUCCUCCUUAACACAACAUACCAGUAUCUAAUCCAGUUAAUCACAGUUUGCUAUCCCCGACACAAACCCUCAACAUUAGGGCAUCCAAACCUCUCUGUAAGUCUUGGAAGACAGACAAUAGAAUAAUGCUGACAGUUUCCUUAUACCUCUGGCAAAGUGUCCAAUCAUCUUUUGGUUAGAAUCCAGUGAGAGGACUAAGAAAGGCAUCUGAUUUGUCUGUCAAAGCUUGCCCAGGUUAUGAAGAUAACUGGAGACCUACAUUUGUAACUCAGUAAAUGGGAGACUUUCAUUCCUGGACAUUCUGCAACAGCCAGUGUUGACCUGGUAAAUCUACCUGAGAUUCGCUCAUGAUUCCAAUGUGACUGAAUGCCUUGAGAAUAUACAACUCCCUCACAGCUAUUCUUCUUUAUUGAUAUGUCUUAGACAGUAGAAGUUCGUGAAGUGACCUAAUCACUGUAAACCCAAACGUUUUGUAGAAAACGCAACAACAAAUAACCCUAAAAGGAAACUGGAGAAGGGGCUCUGAUCACAGCCUCAGGAAUUGGAGUUAGUCCCUUCAAAUUCAUGGGCCUGUUUGACUUAAAUUGUAAAGAUUAUUUUGUGCUUUUGAACGGACAUUAAUCCCAAAGGAAGAACAAACAGAAUGAGUCAAAUUGCUUUGAGCAGGAAUGCCUGCUGAGAGGGGAGAGAAAUUCUGUAAGAAGCACGGCUUCUGAAAUUGGCCCUGCAUUUUCCUGAAUGAUUCUGAUCUGUACUGCAUAUAGUUUUCAAAAGUCAUUAUGCUUUCCAAGUGCUAAAUAUUUGCUUCCCAAGUUAUCAGUGUCAUUAUGACCUUUGCUUGCCUAUUUAUACAGUUUAAUGUCCUCCUUAUAAGCGAAGAUAAGAAAACUACUUUUUAAAAAUUUUGUAAAUUUAUGUUGUUCUUCAGCUGCUCUCUGCCCUUCAAGGUUCAGCUGAAAGGCCCUGCCACCCACCCCCCAACCCCAUCCACUUAGCAUGAUAGUCAAUUUUCCCUUUUGCAAACUUCUACAGAAUAUUCUAAGUGCUUAAGAGGGCAGGCUUUGUCAUCAGAAACCUGCAUCCAAAUUCCAGUGUUUUCAUGUCCAAAGGAAAUUAACAGCUAUUUCGGUUCUCCUUCUAUAAAAUAAGAAUAACAGCUAAAUUCCAGGAUUUCUGUAAGGCUUACAGGGAGAAAUAAUAGAGUAAAUACUAAACUAUAG
RNAcentral lists this long non-coding RNA (36604 nucleotides) under Homo sapiens (human). Its description in RNAcentral is "HSALNT0310718". Lineage: Eukaryota; Metazoa; Chordata; Mammalia; Primates; Hominidae. The record is from RNAcentral.